Molecule: long non-coding RNA, 778 nt
Filed under: Mus musculus (house mouse)
Lineage: Eukaryota; Metazoa; Chordata; Mammalia; Rodentia; Muridae
Description: long non-coding RNA chr7:6901251-6902029
Source: RNAcentral
UUCCACCAAGGCUCCCAGUAGUUUCAUUGUUGUGUAACAGAAACACAAUAUAAACUCAUCAAGAGAUUGAUGUGUAAAAUUGCUGACAUCUGCAAGUGGAAUGCUUUUUGGCCGUAAAUAAUCUCAUUUUUACUUUUUUAAAUGUUAUGCAUAGAGGUGUUUUGUUUACAUGCAUGUCUAUGCUUCAUGUGUGCCUAAUGCCCAAGGAGAUCAGAGGAGAGUAUCAGAUUCUCUGGACUGGAGUUACAUAUGGUAGCAAUCCAUCAUCGAGAUGCUGGGAAUCAAACCCAGGACCUCUAGAAGAAUAAGUACUCUUAACCACUGAGAAGUCGCUCCAGUCCCCCCCACACCAAAAAGAAAGAAAGAAAGAAAGAAAGAAAGAAAGAAAGAAAGAAAGAAAGAGAGAGAGAGAGAGAGAAAGAGAAAGAAAGAAAGAAAGAAAGAAAGAAAGAAAGAAAGAAAGAAAGAAAGGAAGGAAGGAAGGAAGGAAGGAAGGAAGGAAGGAAGGAAGGAAGGAAGGAAGGAAGGAAAGAAAAAGAAGAGGAAAAAGAAAAAGAAAAACGAUUUUUUUUCGAGGACAGGGUUUCUCUGUGUAGCCUUGACCGUCCUGGAACUCCCUCUGUAGACCAAGCUGGCCCCGAACUCAGAGAGAUCACCUGCCUCUGUGCUGCUGGGGUCAAAGGCAAUUGCUACCACUGCCUGGUGUAAAAUAAAAUAAAAUAAUAAAUGUGUUUAAAUACAGAUACAAGAUCUUCAUCAAAAGAGUUUCUAAAGCAGC